AUGAGACAAAAGAUCCUCUUUCUAAAGAGAUUCGAUUCGGAACUCUUAUAUGUCCAAGGUCAAUAUGGAAAUUCUUUCAGAGGUUUUCCCUUACUUUGUCCGUGUCAACAAACAAUUCGAAAUACCUCGACUUUUUCAGAACAGGUCCGAGUCAAAUAA
RNAcentral lists this ribosomal RNA (159 nucleotides) under Triticum aestivum (bread wheat). RNAcentral describes it as "partial small subunit ribosomal RNA". Lineage: Eukaryota; Viridiplantae; Streptophyta; Magnoliopsida; Poales; Poaceae. The record is from RNAcentral.